Phascolarctos cinereus (koala) is the source of this 351-nucleotide non-coding RNA. Lineage: Eukaryota; Metazoa; Chordata; Mammalia; Diprotodontia; Phascolarctidae. The record is from RefSeq and is a predicted model, not a curated record.
GUGGAUUCCACCUUGAAACUCUCAUUGGCCAUUGGACUGUCAUCUCCUGAGGAGGGUUCAACAGUAUAUAACACAGCAGAAAAGAGAGCUAUCCCAACAUCCAUCACAUCUCAGCUCAAUCAGACCAGAUUUUUGAACUGAAAUACAUCUCUGAUUUUGGAAUGAUGGGGCCCCUAAUCACUGUCUUCUUCCUGCUGUUGUUUUCAGGGACCACAGUUCUUGGACAGAAACCUCAUAGUGCCCCGAAACCAGGAAAACAGUGUGAUUCUCUGGUAUACAAGGACAAAGCACAAUCAAAAGGCACACCCUUUUUCACAAACAAAGCCUACUUCAAUGAAAAACUCAUCUACC